GUUUAGUGUCACUGUUAAGAACACGGGCUCUGGAGCCAGACUCUUAGGUUUCUAUCCCAGCUCUGUCACAUGGGCAAGUCAUUUAAUUCUCUGUCUCAACUUCCUCACCUGUAAAAUGGAGAUAAUAAUAGUCCCCACUUGGUCGGGUUGUUGAGAAGGUUAAAUGGUCGCCUAAGUAUAUCUGAGUUUAUCUAAGCUCUUAUAGUGAAGCAGGAAGAUGAGAUGGGUAUCUCUCUGCUCUUGCCCAAAGCAGGCUACAGACGGGUUGGUUACUGGUUCUGCUCUAAGGACUGGCCUGCUGGACUCGCUGCGCUUCUCUGCCAGCUGUUCCCUCUUCCGCCUUCUGUUUGCUUUGAUCUGAGGUUGACAGACCACCUGGCCUGCUAAACUGGGAAGGUAGUGAUGCAUUUUAGGCAAUGUCUUCUGCUUAUGCUCAGCAAUGCAUGAGUCUCAGAGCGGUGGCCAGAGAAAUGGCGAAUCGUCGUAUAUUGAGCGAGUGAUAAUGGAAUCCAGGAGGUGGAAAUUACAAGUUGAAAAGUAAAAUCAAUGCCCUGACUGUGAAAUGACUGAAUGCCUGGUGAGGAACUGUGUCGAGGUGCACCCCCACUCCCCUUACUCCACACCGACCUUUAAGACGCUCACCAGUUCAGAAGUUCCUUGAGGGCAGGAAGCAUAUUUUAAUCACGGGUAAUCAUAGCAUAUCAGGGCAGAAAUGGGCCUUAGAGAGCUUCCAGCCCUGGAGUGGCAAAUCGGUUUCAUUUUGGUGCCAGCUACAAUCAUUUAGUGGUGGCUGCCUGAAGCGCUGGGCCGAGAAGUGUUCUGCGGGUCUCUGGGCUCCUUGAGGAGUCGGCCAUGAUCAAUUAGCGAUGUUUACCAUGGCCAGGGGAGUGGCAAGGAGGCAGCACUUUGCUCAGAUUACCCAACCCCUAUCUAGUCCAACCUGUCCCGCUGACAGAUGAGGAAAGAACUGCUAAGCAGCUCUGUGUCCCCACCCACACCCCAGCACAUUCUUGUCCCCUAGCAGCCAUCCACUUCCAGGGGUCUGUGCAUAGUAUUCAAGGGUCUAUGAACUUGAGUGGGAGAGACAUUUACAUCUUUGUUUCACUAAACUCUGAGAUCAAGCACUUCCUUCCAUGAUGAAUGUAGGCAACAAACUGUGGUAGCAACAGCAGCACCUGUGACUGUCACCAAUAGAAACCACAGCUAUCUUCCUAGCACAUCAGAGCUGCUGCUGCUGUCUCUAAAGAUCACUUACACCCCUCGCUAGUCACUGUGGUCUUUGUAUGAAAGGAUCGUAGUUAUUAGACCCAACACUAAAUCUUGUUACUUAAUGCAUUAAUAAAGAAACACACAUAUUACUGAUCCCGAAGUUGCUUCUUAAUAUUUGCAUAACUGCAUUUCAAUAGAGAAUUGGUUUCCUCUGUCAUACUAUUUUAUGCAAUUAAAUUCAUCAUCCUGAGAAG
RNAcentral lists this long non-coding RNA (1463 nucleotides) under Homo sapiens (human). Its description in RNAcentral is "HSALNT0281637". Lineage: Eukaryota; Metazoa; Chordata; Mammalia; Primates; Hominidae. The record is from RNAcentral.